RNAcentral lists this ribosomal RNA (497 nucleotides) under uncultured bacterium. RNAcentral's name for it is "partial 16S ribosomal RNA". It matches the Rfam family "Bacterial small subunit ribosomal RNA", at positions 28 to 507 of the family's 1533-position model. The record is from RNAcentral.
GAUGAACGCUGGCGGCGUGCCUAAUACAUGCAAGUCGAGCGAACAGACGCGGAGCUUGCUCCACUGACGUUAGCGGCGGACGGGUGAGUAACACGUGGAUAACCUACCUAUAAGACUGGGAUAACUUCGGGAAACCGGAGCUAAUACCGGAUAAUAUAUUGAACCGCAUGGUUCAAUAGUGAAAGACGGUUUUGCUGUCACUUAUAGAUGGAUCCGCGCCGCAUUAGCUAGUUGGUAAGGUAACGGCUUACCAAGGCGACGAUGCGUAGCCGACCUGAGAGGGGGAUCGGCCACACUGGAACGGAGACACGGUCCAGACUCCUACGGGAGGCAGCAGUAGGGAAUCUUCCGCAAAGGGCGAAAGCCUGACGGAGCAACGCCGCGUGAGUGAUGAAGGUCUUCGGAUCGUAAAACUCUGUUAUUAGGGAAGAACAAAUGUGUAAGGAACUAUGCACGUCUUGACGGGACCUAAGCAGAAAGCCACGGGUAACUACGUG